Molecule: long non-coding RNA, 1549 nt
Organism: Prionailurus viverrinus (fishing cat)
Lineage: Eukaryota; Metazoa; Chordata; Mammalia; Carnivora; Felidae
Exons: 3
Source: RefSeq, a predicted model, not a curated record
CAACAGAAUACUCGUGUUUCCUUCAAAACGGUCCUAAUUUGAUUUCUGUGCAGUGUCGCCUGGGGACAUCACAGGCACUCAGAAGCUCAGAAGCUGAUUUGUUUUUUUGUUUUGUUUUGUUUUUUUAAGUCCUACAAGGUGGCUGCUUCUGUCCAAGUUCUCCCUGAGGAAAGCCACACCGAUGCCGUGUUUGUGAGUCUAGGAACACACACGUGGAGCGUGUGAAGGAAGGAGGCGGCGGGCGAGAGGAAGGGGGACAGCCUGGGGGACUUCUCAGACCAACACCCGUUGCUUAGGACCUCGGCAAGACUCUGCUUUGAUUCCAGACCCAAUGCGUGUCCAUUUCGGAAAUGGAUUCGGGCUGAAAACGAGAGAGAGGAGGUGUGAGGGAUCCACGCGGGAAUUCUUGAGACUGAGAAACUGCCAGCAUCAUGAAAGAAAAGGGGGGGGGGGCGGGGAUCCUUCCUGUGUCUCGGGAGGAAGAUUGCUCUCAUGUUCCAUUUUCCCAUUUCCUUCAGCGACACUGCGGGCAAGUAGGAGAUUUGGAUACUCAGGGCUGAGAGUUGCGUGUAGCAUUUUCGUUAAAGACGUGUGGAAACUGGACAGUUGGAUCGUUGGCAUUGGGUUUUCUCUAACGGGGUUAAGACCCUGUCGGGGACCGUUAUUCCGCCUGGUCUGUAAUUAUUCAAAGUAACGAGAGAAGGACGCUUUGAUUUGGAAUUAUUUGAAAAAUGGACUAUUUUAAACAACACGCGGCACACAAUCAACGUCGGGUUUGACCUCACCGAUUACGCAACCAACCAAGCCAAUUGACCACAAAGCCCGGUAUGUAAAUACACAGACUCUUCGAGACGCCAGGGUUAUGAAUAAGUGGAGAGACACAGACGAGUGGCAGACAGACUCUGAGCGUCUCUCCAAGGCGCUGGGCUGAAGGACUUACACGCAUUUUCUCCUGUGCCGCUCAACAGCUUCUCACAGUGCGUGCGAUGUCGUGCUCCGAUUUGGCCGACGAGCCGCCCUACGACAGCGAAUUCCAUGAAGUCAAAGACGGAUUUUGUCUAAGUCAUCACUGCUCCACUCUGCCUAGGACAUGACCUUCAGGAGGUGGUUGGGGAAUGAAUAAAUAAAGAGGCAGGUGCCCUCCAGGGUCCUGCUCAGCUCUGGCCUCCUACGGUUCUUCAUCCCUGGAGCUUUGGGGCAGAAAUCACUUGGAAAAGCUUUGAGGAUCAUCCCAGAACGUCGCCUAACUUUUCCGUGCCUUGGUUUCCUCCCGUGUGAGGGUUGGAAUGCCACACAUCAGUCUGGACCCAACUCUUGAUGGAGCCAAGGCUGAUCUCCUACAGAACACAAGCCUCAGGAAGGCAGGCAUGUGGGCAACGUCUUCACGGCUGUGUCCCCGGUGACUUAGGAAACUGCCUAGCUCGCUAUUUAUUUGCUGAAUAAAUAAAUGACAUAUGUAUACAGCGUAUGAUGGCCCUUAGAAAAUGGCGGCCCCCUUCUUUCUUUUCUUCUUUGCUCUUCCUCCCUGCUCUGUUCCGUUCCCCCUCUU